Arabidopsis thaliana (thale cress) is the source of this 366-nucleotide long non-coding RNA. RefSeq annotates it as other RNA. The transcript has 2 exons. NCBI's taxonomy places the organism in Eukaryota, Viridiplantae, Streptophyta, Magnoliopsida, Brassicales, Brassicaceae. The record is from RefSeq.
CGUCUUCUUCUUCUUCAAUGACUCAUCAAACCAAUCUCUCAAGUCAAAUCUCUUCGCUGGGUUCAACAAAUCCUUCCUCUUAUUUCUGUCGAUUACUCCUGAAUUCUUCAAUUUCAACAACGUAAUCUGUGACCCGACCCGCUUCCCCUGAUCGGAUUCGACAAUCAACGAACAACCACUCAAAUCUCUUCGGCUAGAGAUCAACGUGAUUUUGAAUCAUGAGCUUCAAACAAUAAAUCGAUGGGAUACUAUCAAAGAGAUGGUAAAGGAGAACGUGGUGGUGACUGGUAAUCGAAGAUAUAAAAUGGUUUUGUGCUGCUCUGUUUUCGGUUUAGAUUUGUUCUGUAUCACUUUGUCCCUGGUUUG